Molecule: long non-coding RNA, 268 nt
Filed under: Elaeis guineensis (African oil palm)
Lineage: Eukaryota; Viridiplantae; Streptophyta; Magnoliopsida; Arecales; Arecaceae
Description: long non-coding RNA (EGUI_LNC034719)
Source: RNAcentral
AGUGAAUGUAAAAUAUUUGUUAAUCGUUUGAGGAUCAAUUAUAAAAUUGUUAGCUAAUGAUCUAAUUCUGAUGGUUAAACAAAGCUAAUCACUAACACAGGUCCUGCAGGAUUUUAGGUUGUCUAAUGGAAUCCAUUUGUUCCUUAGUGACCUUAUAGGCUUAUAGGCUUUAGAUUGUGUCUGAUAAUCCUCAUUUUGUCCUAGUAGAAUUAUUUUUUAAAUUUAAUUUUUUAGUUUUUAAUUUUUUUUAUAUAUGUGAGAGAAAGAG